RNAcentral lists this ribosomal RNA (253 nucleotides) under uncultured bacterium. RNAcentral's name for it is "partial 16S ribosomal RNA". It matches the Rfam family "Bacterial small subunit ribosomal RNA", at positions 524 to 776 of the family's 1533-position model. The record is from RNAcentral.
UACGGGGGGGGCAAGCGUUGUUCGGAAUUACUGGGCGUAAAGGGCUCGUAGGUGGCCAACUAAGUCAGACGUGAAAUCCCCAGGCUUAACCUGGGAACUGCGUCUGAUACUGGAUGGCUUGAAUUCGGGAGAGGGAUGCAGAAUUCCAGGUGUAGCGGUGAAAUGCGUAAAUAUCUGGAGGAAUACCGGUGGCGAAGGCGGCAUCCUGGACCGAUAUUGACACUGAUGAGCGAAAGCCAGGGGAGCAAACGGG